RNAcentral lists this ribosomal RNA (844 nucleotides) under Fusarium proliferatum. RNAcentral's name for it is "eukaryotic LSU rRNA". It matches the Rfam family "Eukaryotic large subunit ribosomal RNA", at positions 66 to 940 of the family's 3401-position model. Lineage: Eukaryota; Fungi; Ascomycota; Sordariomycetes; Hypocreales; Nectriaceae. The record is from RNAcentral.
CAACAGGGAUUGCCCUAGUAACGGCGAGUGAAGCGGCAACAGCUCAAAUUUGAAAUCUGGCUCUCGGGCCCGAGUUGUAAUUUGUAGAGGAUACUUUUGAUGCGGUGCCUUCCGAGUUCCCUGGAACGGGACGCCAUAGAGGGUGAGAGCCCCGUCUGGUUGGAUGCCAAAUCUCUGUAAAGUUCCUUCGACGAGUCGAGUAGUUUGGGAAUGCUGCUCUAAAUGGGAGGUAUAUGUCUUCUAAAGCUAAAUACCGGCCAGAGACCGAUAGCGCACAAGUAGAGUGAUCGAAAGAUGAAAAGCACUUUGAAAAGAGAGUUAAAAAGUACGUGAAAUUGUUGAAAGGGAAGCGUUUAUGACCAGACUUGGGCUUGGUUAAUCAUCUGGGGUUCUCCCCAGUGCACUUUUCCAGUCCAGGCCAGCAUCAGUUUUCCCCGGGGGAUAAAGACUUCGGGAAUGUGGCUCUCUUCGGGGAGUGUUAUAGCCCGUUGUGUAAUACCCUGGGGGGGACUGAGGUUCGCGCAUCUGCAAGGAUGCUGGCGUAAUGGUCAUCAACGACCCGUCUUGAAACACGGACCAAGGAGUCGUCUUCGUAUGCGAGUGUUCGGGUGUCAAACCCCUACGCGUAAUGAAAGUGAACGCAGGUGAGAGCUUCGGCGCAUCAUCGACCGAUCCUGAUGUUCUCGGAUGGAUUUGAGUAAGAGCAUACGGGGCCGGACCCGAAAGAAGGUGAACUAUGCCUGUAUAGGGUGAAGCCAGAGGAAACUCUGGUGGAGGCUCGCAGCGGUUCUGACGUGCAAAUCGAUCGUCAAAUAUGGGCAUGGGGGCGAAAGACUAAUCGAAC